RNAcentral lists this ribosomal RNA (659 nucleotides) under uncultured bacterium. Its description in RNAcentral is "bacterial SSU rRNA". It matches the Rfam family "Bacterial small subunit ribosomal RNA", at positions 66 to 757 of the family's 1533-position model. The record is from RNAcentral.
ACGAGAAAGUGGAAGCAACCAUGAGUAAAGUGGCGCACGGGUGAGUAACACGUGACUAACCUACCCUUGAGUGGGGAAUAACUUCGGGAAACCGAGGCUAAUACCGCAUAACACCUACGGGUCAAAGGAGCAAUUCGCUUAAGGAGGGGGUCGCGGCAGAUUAGUUAGUUGGCGGGGUAAUGGCCCACCAAGACGGUGAUCUGUAUCCGGCCUGAGAGGGCGCACGGACACACUGGAACUGAAACACGGUCCAGACUCCUACGGGAGGCAGCAGUGGGGAAUUUUGCGCAAUGGGGGAAACCCUGACGCAGCAACGCCGCGUGGAGGAUGAAGUCCCUUGGGACGUAAACUCCUUUCGAUCGGGACGAUUAUGACGGUACCGGAAGAAGAAGCCCCGGCUAACUUCGUGCCAGCAGCCGCGGUAAUACGAGGGGGGCGAGCGUUGUUCGGAAUUAUUGGGCGUAAAGGGCGCGUAGGCGGUUGGAUAAGUCUUGUGUGAAAUCUUCGGGCUCAACUCGAAGUCUGCACGAGAAACUAUCUGGCUUGAGUGUGGGAGAGGUGAGUGGAAUUCCUGGUGUAGCGGUGAAAUGCGUAGAUAUCAGGAGGAACACCUGUGGCGAAAGCGGCUCACUGGACCACAACUGACGCUGAGGCGCGAA